Molecule: non-coding RNA, 29 nt
Filed under: Homo sapiens (human)
Lineage: Eukaryota; Metazoa; Chordata; Mammalia; Primates; Hominidae
Source: RNAcentral
UGCAGGACACAGCCUAGCAUAGGGACUUG